This 691-nucleotide long non-coding RNA is filed under the name Vigna radiata. RNAcentral describes it as "long non-coding RNA (VRAD_LNC012052)". The record is from RNAcentral. Lineage: Eukaryota; Viridiplantae; Streptophyta; Magnoliopsida; Fabales; Fabaceae.
GGAGGCUAGGGAUAGCAAGCUAGUAAUUAGUAAUAGGCUCUUUUCGCCGAGGCAUCGGGUUAAGGGUAAGCUAAGAAAGUUGCAUAACAAUUAGAUAAUCAAGCAAAUAAAUCAAGAGGAGUAAAUAAGAGAGAAAGGAUAAGAUGAAAUUGUAAACCCCCAACAACUCCCUUCAUCCAUAGUUUUCUUCUCGUCAAUUGAAUCAAUCUCUUUUGCAUGUUUAUAUUUUGUUCUCAUAUCCAAUUAAUUAUUUUUAUUUUCCUGUCUUGCGAUUUUAAUUCACACGAACGAUAAGGCCUUUCGAGUCUCUUGGGAAGAACGAUAUUGGGUUUUACCAAUUAUAUUACUUGGAACGAUUUGGUAUGCUUGCCAAUCUGUUAACACACACCUAUUUAUAUUCCUUCUUUACCUUUGACUAUUCAACACUCACUUAACUCAAAUAUCUCCCACUCACUCAUGUCAAUCACAUGCACACCUUCAUCCUCCCUUCCUUUUCCACUCCAACACCUCACGUAGCUCUUCCAUGCAUUAACCAUCUCACUCACUUUCUCUCAAAAUAUAAAAUGCUCUCGCCAUUCUCCUUCUCCUUCUCUUUGCUUUUCACGGAAACCGAGCUCUCUCUUAUCACUUCUCUCUUCUUCUUCUUCUUCUUCUUCUUCUUCUUCUUCUUCUUCUUCUUCUUCUUCUUCUU